Molecule: long non-coding RNA, 448 nt
Organism: Zingiber officinale
Lineage: Eukaryota; Viridiplantae; Streptophyta; Magnoliopsida; Zingiberales; Zingiberaceae
Exons: 3
Source: RefSeq, a predicted model, not a curated record
UAACUUGGAUACCUCAGGCCUCAGGAGGAUGAUUUACUAUGGGAGAAUAUUUCUCUGCACAGGACUGAUAAGUUAGUUUGCAAUACUGGUUUCUUCUUUUAGAUCUUGUUUGAGUUUGAUAGAACAAUUUCUAUACUGACAUGCAACAAUCCUUGGUUGGCUUUGGCUACAAUUGGACAAGUAUCGAAGCUUUGUUUAAUGACAAGACUAGCAGAUAGUAUCGGAGAAGGUGAACAAGUUUGUAAAUUGUCAAAAAAUAAACAUUUGAGAUUUCAAAUGUGUAUCAUAAUUAUUUUAGUAGAGGUUACUCCUGGUGAAACUUGAUCAGCAAUGCCAAGCAUUAGAGCUCCAUCAUCAAAAAGGACUACAAGUUUAUUGGUGGCAGUAAAAUGUAGGCCAUUGACUGAAGUAGAACAAAAGCAGUGCAUGCAUAUUAUUCAAGUUAUGG